Molecule: ribosomal RNA, 210 nt
Filed under: uncultured bacterium
Lineage: Bacteria
Description: partial 16S ribosomal RNA
Rfam family: Bacterial small subunit ribosomal RNA
Source: RNAcentral
UACGUAGGGUGCGAGCGUUAAUCGGAAUUACUGGGCGUAAAGCGUGCGCAGGCGGUUUGGUAAGACAGGCGUGAAAUCCCCGGGCGUUAACCUGGGAACGUGCGUUUGUUGACUGCCAGGCUAGAGUACGGCAGAGGGGGGUGGAAUUCCACGUGUAGCAGUGAAAUGCGUAGAGAUGUGGAGGAACACCAAUGGCGAAGGCAGCCCCCU